CUGCUGGCCUGGCUGGUCGUGGCCUCCCGCACCUCGAUGCGGUGGCAGAUCUGGCCGUCCCUUCUUCGUCUUCCUCGACCACAACAUCACCACCCUUUUGCAACGAGAUCAGCAGUGCAGGUGCGCUCUCCGGUGCCCCGCUGAGUGAUAAGGUUUCCUAGGGUGUCAACUAGAUUAUUUCGGACACGCCUCGGGACAAGAGGGUCAGUACAUCCACGAGUUACAGCCUUUCAACAAUGACAACUGAUUGGUCCGUUUGUUUCAAUUGGAGUUAAAGGAGUUACAGGGCACAUUGCUCGGAGAUACUCAGCUGGAGCUCUCUCCACAAAUUGUCUUCCAGGUGUGCAAAUUAAACUUCAAUUGGAUCACAUAAGCGUACAUGAACCAAUGAGAGUAACAUUAAAGUAACUACUAGCCGAGUACCAGC
Lolium rigidum is the source of this 427-nucleotide long non-coding RNA. RefSeq lists it as uncharacterized. The transcript has 3 exons. NCBI's taxonomy places the organism in Eukaryota, Viridiplantae, Streptophyta, Magnoliopsida, Poales, Poaceae. The record is from RefSeq and is a predicted model, not a curated record.